CUGAUUGGCUGUAGUAUUAACUGUAAAGUGUUUUGAAACAGUCUGAUUGGACCCUCUUUCUAUUCCAGGAACGACUACAGAAACUGGAGACGGAGAAGAAUAAAGUAUUAAAGAGCACAUCAACUCAAGCAACGGCACCUGAAGAAACAAAGGUGGAUAGAGAGAAGGUCCAGAGGCUGCUGGAGGAUCUGUGGGUGUGUGUAGCUCCUCC
Molecule: non-coding RNA, 211 nt
Organism: Salmo salar (Atlantic salmon)
Lineage: Eukaryota; Metazoa; Chordata; Actinopteri; Salmoniformes; Salmonidae
Source: RefSeq, a predicted model, not a curated record